GUUAUUAUGCGGUGAGACUUCUAAUGGAUGCUUCAUGCCUUCAUCCUUGAAUGCGUGCAGUUGACUUACUUUAGUUUUGACUAACAAUCUCUUCAUGGGUGUUUAGACCAACCAUGUGAAAUAGUCUGGGUAGAAAUUUAGAAUCGACUCAGAAAAUACAUCAUUCUGCCACCUUUUAUUUACAUAUCCCAUUGUUCUGUUAGGUGUAUUUAUACAUAUGCCACACCGUUCUGCUACUGUUCACUCAGUGUUUAGUGCAACGUCAAACGAUUGGAAUAUCCCUAGGACCCGUAAGGGCUCUCUUAUUCCAAUUGACCCAUUCACCCGUGGUGGGGCCGAGCAAGACACCACUAAGUUACCUCCCCGACUGCACCGGCUAGGAUGGGUUUGGGGGUGGCGACGAGUCCUCAAGCGCCUAUGGGUGGAAGAAAAGAUAAUGAAUGGCAUCGAGGGAGAGAGGAUGGAGGCAGUGGGGCUGGCCAAAGAGUGUUAACGGACCUUGACUGAAUAUAGAAAGAGUGUAGUGGCAUAUACAUAGAUACAUCUAACAGAACACAAGUUAGUAGUUGAACUAAUGGCAAAUGUGUAAAAUCCCCUUGUUAAAAUUGUAAUCUUAUUGGGUUUCAAAAAUAGAUUACAAUAGAUACUGAUGAUCAAAGUUACUUUUGGAGACCCUUCACUUAUGUGGUUGAAGGUUACUUUAAAA
Hordeum vulgare subsp. vulgare (domesticated barley) is the source of this 706-nucleotide long non-coding RNA. RefSeq lists it as uncharacterized. The transcript has 2 exons. The record is from RefSeq and is a predicted model, not a curated record. NCBI's taxonomy places the organism in Eukaryota, Viridiplantae, Streptophyta, Magnoliopsida, Poales, Poaceae.